AUGAGGUUUUAAGGCGUCCCUGUCCAUUGGACAUUCGGCCGCCUGUAAAGAAUCUGUUUGCUAGAAAAAUAUCGAAUUGCUUGAAUUUUGAUAUUGCAAGUGCUCAUUUACUUCAAUUAAGUGUGUGAGUUCUAAAAUUUUGACCUUUAAAGUGCUCGGUAACGCGUUGUGGGUUUCUUGGGAGGUGAGUGGGAUCCUGGGACUUACUUUACCUACUGUUAGAAUUAGUUUUACGUUAUAGUUACUUUAAAGGGUUGUUAAGAUACCAUUUUGUCCUCCAUCAAGACAAUAAAUUCGAUUUGGGAUUAAUUUUGCCAUGGUGCCGGCACAUGGCCUACUCUUCACGAACUACACCAUGGGUUCUUUAUCGUGCGGGUUAGGAGGCAAUCCCCACACCCCCUCUCACGCCGGGUGUCGCGUUCACCCUACAAUGCCGGGUGGUGCAUGGGCCUAAAUAAUUAUUGUUUGGUCAUGUUGCA
Molecule: long non-coding RNA, 479 nt
Organism: Amphibalanus amphitrite
Lineage: Eukaryota; Metazoa; Arthropoda; Thecostraca; Balanomorpha; Balanidae
Exons: 3
Source: RefSeq, a predicted model, not a curated record